Molecule: long non-coding RNA, 1905 nt
Filed under: Coturnix japonica (Japanese quail)
Lineage: Eukaryota; Metazoa; Chordata; Aves; Galliformes; Phasianidae
Description: lncRNA (ENSCJPG00005018161.1)
Source: RNAcentral
ACCAGAGAGAGUCACUGCAGUUCAGACAGAACAGUUCUGGCCUACUAGCUCAGCAGAGAAGAAAACAGUCAACAGGCAGAAGAGAAAAACGUUUUCAAAAACUGAGCCAAGGAAGUAGUCUCACAGAUAAACACUGAAAUCUUGACUGAUGUUUAAAGCUGGAAGUUCACUGGUACAAUGCUGAGGUGACUGAGUGGAGUCUUCGACAUCUCAUUAUCUCGACAUAAUGUUUCAUUGCUCUGAUGCAUAUUCUAUAAUUAAAAUGUUAAGAUAACUCUUCAUUAUGUGAGAUGCUACUGGUAUAUUUAAACACCAUAGAGUCACAAAACCUGCUCAUAAAAUAAUCUAAACAUAUGUCAAGCACUCUCAAAAUCUGUACAGAAUGAUCUGAUGGUAGCUGGUGUCAUUGCAUAUUCAAGUUUUGGACACAUAAUGCCAUAAAGCAGACUGACUGUGUGUCAUCAAGAGGAGAGGCUGACUUUAAGUAACACUACAGGAGAAGAGAAACAUAAGUGAACCAAAUGAGUCAUUUUUAGAAAAGAAAACCGAACAUUUCCUGGUAUACUCAACUCUGUCUUAAGAACCUUGUAAUGAAAUAGUCUCCUUUUUACAAUGGUAAAUUAGGAUUUAUAGUUGAUAAUUAUAAUUUAUGAUCCAUAACGUCAAAUAGUAAAUAAAUGAGAAUGUUUCUGGAUUCUUAAUCUUUUUAGCCAUUAGAUUUGGGAGUUUCUGUAAUGCAUAAUAUUGAUUGAUGUUGUUUGUCUAUGUGAUGAUUAAAUCCUGAAAUCAAUUUGGAGUUACCGUGUUGCAAAUUGGUUUUGUAAAUAGAACAAAGAAGGAUUUCAGAAUGACUUUCUUCUAUUUUCUGUUGUGCUUGUCUAAUAAUCAGAAUAAAGAGGAUUUUAGAAGAUGAGGCUACUUGAAAGUGGAUCAUUGGAAUAAAAUGGAGGCGCCAUUAUUUUAAAAUGAGGAUCAUCAGACAAUUUAGCAGUCAGCACACUGUAAAGAAAACAAGAGGUAUUAAAGCAAAACAAAUAAAAGGGCAGGCACUUUCCAGAGAAGCAAUUUUCUGUUUGUUCUCUUAUACACACUUUCCUGUGGCAAAUUACAAACUGGCAUCUGAUACUGAGAUCUCUCUUGCAGAACAAAGGAAUUUUUUUCUUUUCCCCACCAGCUGACUGGAGAUCUUCCAGGAAGCAGAAGAGGGAGCAGAAAGCAGAGCAAAGUUGUAUAUUGAUGGUAUAAGUUGCCAGAUGAAGAAAUAUUCAGUCUGGAACUGCAGAAAGACCCGGUAUUUGCUCACCAAUACCUUAUGGCUGAAUACAUGAAUAAUGAGUGCAACAGUGCUGGCAGUAAAUCAAAUGGAAACUGGGACUAAGAAGAAAAAAGAAUUACAAAAAACAAAGUAAAAAUGAGUUUUUGACAUCCUCAAGCACUGCAAAAGGAAGCAUGAAUGCAGAGCAUUGCUCUGAGCACCACAGAGCACCCCCGCAAGCUCCUGUGCCACACCAAUCAAAUCAUGCUCAUCAUUAUGUUGGAGACUUGUACUUUUUCAUUUAUUUUUGUCAGCAGAAAAUAUUAGAAAGAGACACUUGCCAGACAGGAGUUGCUCUGUAGAAAUGUCAGAAAAUACAGGAAACAAACAUCUUGGAACCCAAACCAUGCAUGCAGAAAUCAGUGGCCUCAUGCUUUUUAUUCAGGCUGUCUCCAUUUCAUCUGUAACAUACAGUUUGAUAGCUCUCAUUUUCACUUUCAGGCUCUCCUGUCCCAUCUUAAUAAUGAAAACAGGUACUUUUUAAUCCACAUAAAUGGCAUUUAAAAUAUUUAUAUUGCUUUUUUAAAGAAAAAGAAACUAAAGUUUGGUCAAAACUAUCAUAUUGUUGUAAUUUAACUUUGAGCUUUGAC